RNAcentral lists this ribosomal RNA (424 nucleotides) under uncultured prokaryote. RNAcentral describes it as "bacterial SSU rRNA". It matches the Rfam family "Bacterial small subunit ribosomal RNA", at positions 355 to 796 of the family's 1533-position model. The record is from RNAcentral.
UGGGGAAUCUUAGACAAUGGGGGAAACCCUGAUCUAGCCAUGCCGCGUGAGUGAUGAAGGCCCUAGGGUCGUAAAGCUCUUUCGCUGGGGAAGAUAAUGACGGUACCCAGUAAAGAAGUCCCGGCUAACUCCGUGCCAGCAGCCGCGGUAAUACGGAGGGGACUAGCGUUGUUCGGAAUUACUGGGCGUAAAGCGCGCGUAGGCGGACUAUUAAGUCAGGGGUGAAAUCCCGGGGCUCAACCCCGGAACUGCCUUUGAUACUGGUAGUCUUGAGUUCGAGAGAGGUGAGUGGAAUUCCGAGUGUAGAGGUGAAAUUCGUAGAUAUUCGGAGGAACACCAGUGGCGAAGGCGGCUCGCUGGGCCAUUCCUGACGCUGAGACGCGAAAGCAUGGGGAGCGAACAGGAUUAGAUACCCGUGUAGUCC